Long non-coding RNA from Ananas comosus (pineapple), 556 nucleotides. RefSeq lists it as uncharacterized. The transcript is spliced from 3 exons. The record is from RefSeq and is a predicted model, not a curated record. NCBI's taxonomy places the organism in Eukaryota, Viridiplantae, Streptophyta, Magnoliopsida, Poales, Bromeliaceae.
CAAGGGGCAUAGUGGUCAUUUUUUUUGGAUAAGAAUGCCACCGCCCUUUUCAUGUUUAUCCCUUCAAAUUAACAGAGAGUGUGCACUUUUUGUUCUCUCUAGUUAAUUACGUGCAUGGUGGAGAGCACGGGUAGAGGUGCCGAGGAGCUCGGAUUCGACGCCGACGACGCGCCGCGAAGCCGUUCGAGGGUACGGCUGGGAUCGUAGCGCUGCGAGGAAGCUAGGCGAGGGUGUGUUUUCGCCGUUCUCGACGCCACGUCGAUGUCCGAUUAGCCAUUGAGCGUCGACCGUCGGUAUUUCAAUUCGUACUCGGCGUAGGAGCGUCGGUUUUCGACGGGACUUGGUUCGUUGGAUUCGGGACUUCGAGAGGAAUCCAUGAAGCCCUUACUUGCUGGAUUUGGUAAAGGUUUGCUAGAGUUUGGCGGGAGCUUGACUUCGGGCCUUGGGAGGUUUUCGGACGUUUCGGCAGGUUGUUCCGCAGCCGAAGGGAGUUCCGUGCUGCCAGGAAUUAGCAAUCGAGGUGGGUUACAUCGGUUUUGACUCCUUAGUUCUAAUC